This is a non-coding RNA of Achaetomium macrosporum, 93 nucleotides long. The record is from the annotation of a GenBank genome assembly. NCBI's taxonomy places the organism in Eukaryota, Fungi, Ascomycota, Sordariomycetes, Sordariales, Chaetomiaceae.
GGCAAGGUGGCCGAGUGGUUAAGGCGCUAGACUUAGGCGGAGUGCCCAAAAAUCUAGUGGGAAACCUCGCGAGUUCGAAUCUCGUCCUUGUCA